AUUGAACGCUGGCGGGAUGCUUUACACAUGCAAGUCGAACGGAGUGGCGGACGGGUGAGUAAUAUAUCGGAAAGUGCCCAGUAGCGGGGGAUAACUACUCGACAGAGUGGCUAAUACCGCCUACUAUUGGAGCGGCCGAUAUCGGAUUCGCUAGUUGGUGGGGGAAAGGAUCACAAAGGCAACGAGCCGUAGAUGGUUUGAGAGGACGACCAGCCAGACUGGGACUGAGACAAGGCCCAGACUCCUACGGGAGGCAGAGGUGGGGAAUUUGGGACAAUGGGGGAAACCCUGAGCCAGCCAGCCCGCGUGUAUGAUGAAGGCCUUCGGGUUGUAAAGUACUUUUGGCAGAGAAGCGGUAUCUGCAGAAUAAGCACCGGCUAACUACGUGCCAGCAGCCGCGGUAAUUC
Molecule: ribosomal RNA, 407 nt
Filed under: uncultured bacterium
Lineage: Bacteria
Description: partial 16S ribosomal RNA
Rfam family: Bacterial small subunit ribosomal RNA
Source: RNAcentral